ACAGCAUAUACAUUGAUCGAUGAUGCACUCCAAUAUGUUUUAGAUCACAAAAAAGAGUAACCGAGUUCUCCAGGAGACACAAAAAUCGAAGUUGAACACAAUUUUUUUUAGGUAAAAACUUACACAAUUUAAAGGAACAUUGAACUUAAUAUACAAUCUCGGGAGCAAUCUAUGGUUCCUAUUUAUACAAGAUGCUCAAAAUUUUACCCUUCAAUAAUCCAA
Molecule: unclassified non-coding RNA, 222 nt
Filed under: Hevea brasiliensis (rubber tree)
Lineage: Eukaryota; Viridiplantae; Streptophyta; Magnoliopsida; Malpighiales; Euphorbiaceae
Source: RNAcentral